This is a non-coding RNA of Pelobates cultripes (western spadefoot toad), 155 nucleotides long. The record is from the annotation of a GenBank genome assembly. Lineage: Eukaryota; Metazoa; Chordata; Amphibia; Anura; Pelobatidae.
CAGCCAAUCAGCAGCAGACCCUCCCUCCCAGACCCUUCCACCUCCUGGACAGCUCACUAAGAAUGCAGCUUCACAAUGAAUGUAAAAUGGAUGCUGUCCAGGAGGUGGGAGGGUCUGGGAGGGAGGGUCUGCUGCUGAUUGGCUGGAAUGUGUCU